AACCCCUCAAGCUCAGCUUGGUGUUGGGCGCUUGUCCCGCCUCCGGCGAGGACUCGCCUCGAAUCAAUUGGCGGCCUCCGUGUCGGGCUAUCGAGCGCAGCAGAUCAGCGCCUCGGGCCCAGCGCGCCGGCGUCCAGGAAGCACCCCAUCA
Molecule: unclassified non-coding RNA, 151 nt
Filed under: uncultured fungus
Lineage: Eukaryota; Fungi
Description: sequence contains ITS2
Source: RNAcentral